RNAcentral lists this ribosomal RNA (880 nucleotides) under Pseudomonas fulva. RNAcentral describes it as "bacterial SSU rRNA". It matches the Rfam family "Bacterial small subunit ribosomal RNA", at positions 45 to 922 of the family's 1533-position model. Lineage: Bacteria; Pseudomonadati; Pseudomonadota; Gammaproteobacteria; Pseudomonadales; Pseudomonadaceae. The record is from RNAcentral.
GGCCUACCAUGCAAGUCGAGCGGAUGACGGGAGCUUGCUCCUUGAUUCAGCGGCGGACGGGUGAGUAAUGCCUAGGAAUCUGCCUGGUAGUGGGGGACAACGUUUCGAAAGGAACGCUAAUACCGCAUACGUCCUACGGGAGAAAGCAGGGGACCUUCGGGCCUUGCGCUAUCAGAUGAGCCUAGGUCGGAUUAGCUUGUUGGUGAGGUAAUGGCUCACCAAGGCGACGAUCCGUAACUGGUCUGAGAGGAUGAUCAGUCACACUGGAACUGAGACACGGUCCAGACUCCUACGGGAGGCAGCAGUGGGGAAUAUUGGACAAUGGGCGAAAGCCUGAUCCAGCCAUGCCGCGUGUGUGAAGAAGGUCUUCGGAUUGUAAAGCACUUUAAGUUGGGAGGAAGGGUUGUAGAUUAAUACUCUGCAAUUUUGACGUUACCGACAGAAUAAGCACCGGCUAACUCUGUGCCAGCAGCCGCGGUAAUACAGAGGGUGCAAGCGUUAAUCGGAAUUACUGGGCGUAAAGCGCGCGUAGGUGGUUUGUUAAGUUGGAUGUGAAAGCCCCGGGCUCAACCUGGGAACUGCAUCCAAAACUGGCAAGCUAGAGUACGGUAGAGGGUGGUGGAAUUUCCUGUGUAGCGGUGAAAUGCGUAGAUAUAGGAAGGAACACCAGUGGCGAAGGCGACCACCUGGACUGAUACUGACACUGAGGUGCGAAAGCGUGGGGAGCAAACAGGAUUAGAUACCCUGGUAGUCCACGCCGUAAACGAUGUCAACUAGCCGUUGGAAUCCUUGAGAUUUUAGUGGCGCAGCUAACGCAUUAAGUUGACCGCCUGGGGAGUACGGCCGCAAGGUUAAAACUCAAAUGAAUUGACGGGGGCCC